GAAUUUCUCUCUCUCCUUCACCCCAAAUUUUCGACCACUUCACUCUCUCCCUCAUCUCUCAUAUUUCCUCCAUUUUCCUCCAUUGUAGAAACCUUCGGAGCUUCCAAAAAUUAUACCAAACACCUCAAUCCACUCUUAAAUCUUACAUAAACACAUCCUAGCUACUUGAAUUCAAGAGGAUCAUUGAAGAGAGGCUUCCAAGCUAGAGUGAGAAAGUGUGGGUCUUGGUGAAAAAUUUGGACACGAGCAGAGCAAGGAAGUAAGUAACUCCGCUUUGACGGGAGAUUUUGAGUAAGGUCUUCAGGCUAAGCAAGGAGCGAGAUUGGUCUGGUGCUGGUGGGGGAUUGUUAGAUGAUGUAUUUACUUUAUCGUAUUUCCUUUUUAGCGAUAAAGUCUUGAUGUGGAGUUACUUUGAUUUUGAAUCAAGCAAUUUACUUGCG
Molecule: long non-coding RNA, 440 nt
Organism: Salvia miltiorrhiza (redroot sage)
Lineage: Eukaryota; Viridiplantae; Streptophyta; Magnoliopsida; Lamiales; Lamiaceae
Exons: 3
Source: RefSeq, a predicted model, not a curated record